GACGUAGGGCGCGAGCGUUGUCCGGAUUUAUUGGGCGUAAAGAGCUCGUAGGCGGCUUGUCGCGUCGAAUGUGAAAACCCACGGCUCAACUGUGGGCUUGCAUUCGAUACGGGCAGGCUAGAGUUCGGUAGGGGAGACGUGGAAUUCCUGGUGUAGCGGUGAAAUGCGCAGAUAUCAGGAGGAACACCGGUGGCGAAGGCGGGUCUCUGGGCCGAUACUGACGCUGAGGAGCGAAAGCGUGGGGAGCGAACAGG
Molecule: ribosomal RNA, 254 nt
Filed under: uncultured bacterium
Lineage: Bacteria
Description: partial 16S ribosomal RNA
Rfam family: Bacterial small subunit ribosomal RNA
Source: RNAcentral